GACAGAGGGUGCAAACGUUGCUCGGAAUCACUGGGCGUAAAGGGCGCGUAGGCGGGAAUGUAAGUCGGGCGUGAAAUCCCCAGGCUCAACCUGGGAACUGCACUCGAAACUGCGUUUCUUGAGUAUCGGAGAGGAAAGCGGAAUUCCUGGUGUAGAGGUGAAAUUCGUAGAUAUCAGGAGGAACACCAGUGGCGAAGGGCGGCUUUCUGGACGGUAAC
Molecule: ribosomal RNA, 218 nt
Filed under: uncultured bacterium
Lineage: Bacteria
Description: partial 16S ribosomal RNA
Rfam family: Bacterial small subunit ribosomal RNA
Source: RNAcentral